AGAGUUUGAUCCUGGCUCAGGAUGAACGCUAGCGGCAGGCUUAACACAUGCAAGUCGAGGGGCAGCGGGGAGUAGCAAUACUCUGCCGGCGACCGGCGAAAGGGUGCGUAACGCGUGAGCGACAUACCCGUGACUGGGGCAUAACCGAUGGAAACGUUGACUAAUUCCCCAUAACACAUCGUGCUGCAUGGCAUGGUGUUGAAAAUUUCGAUGGUCACGGAUUGGCUCGCGUCUGAUUAGCUAGUUGGUGGGGUAACGGCUCACCAAGGCGACGAUCAGAAGGGGUUCUGAGAGGAAGGUCCCCCACAAUGGAACUGAGACACGGUCCAUACUCCUACGGGAGGCAGCAGUGAGGAAUAUUGGUCAAUGGGCGGAAGCCUGAACCAGCCAUGCCGCGUGCAGGAUGACGGCCCUAUGGGUUGUAAACUGCUUUUGCUGUGGAGCAAUAAGGGUCACGCGCUGACCCGAUGAGAGUACACAGCGAAUAAGCAUCGGCUAACUCCGUGCCAGCAGCCGCGGUAAUAC
RNAcentral lists this ribosomal RNA (525 nucleotides) under uncultured bacterium. Its description in RNAcentral is "bacterial SSU rRNA". It matches the Rfam family "Bacterial small subunit ribosomal RNA", at positions 8 to 526 of the family's 1533-position model. The record is from RNAcentral.